CCUACGGGUGGCAGCAGUGAGGAAUAUUGGUCAAUGGGCGAGAGCCUGAACCAGCGAAGUCGCGUGAAGGAUGAAGGUUCUAUGGUUUGUAAACUUCUUUUAUAUGGGAAUAAAGUGAGGAACGUGUUCCUUUUUGUAUGUACCAUAUGAAUAAGCAUCGGCUAACCCCGUGCCAGCAGCCGCGGUAAUACGGAGGAUGCGAGCGUUAUCCGGAUUUAGUGGGUUUAAAGGGUGCGUAGGUGGUAAAUUAAGUCAGCGGUGAAAGUUUGUGGCUCAACGAUAAAAUUGCCGUUGAAACUGGUUGACUGGAGUGUAUUUGAGGUAAGCGGAAUGCGAGGUGUAGCGGUGAAAUGCAUAGAUAUCACGAGGAACACCGAUUGCGAAGGCAGCUUACUAAACUAUAACUGACACUGAAGCGCGAAAGCGUGGGGAGCAAACAGGAUUAGAUACCCGGGUAGUC
Molecule: ribosomal RNA, 460 nt
Filed under: uncultured bacterium
Lineage: Bacteria
Description: partial 16S ribosomal RNA
Rfam family: Bacterial small subunit ribosomal RNA
Source: RNAcentral